RNAcentral lists this unclassified non-coding RNA (253 nucleotides) under Terricaulis sp. RNAcentral describes it as "partial 16S ribosomal RNA". It matches the Rfam family "Bacterial small subunit ribosomal RNA", at positions 524 to 776 of the family's 1533-position model. Lineage: Bacteria; Pseudomonadati; Pseudomonadota; Alphaproteobacteria; Caulobacterales; Caulobacteraceae. The record is from RNAcentral. RNAcentral also lists the same sequence under 1 other name.
UACGAAGGGGGCUAGCGUUGUUCGGAUUUACUGGGCGUAAAGCGCGUGUAGGCGGGCUGGAAAGUUGGGGGUGAAAUCCCGAGGCUCAACCUCGGAACUGCCUCCAAAACUUCCAGCCUGGACCCAAAGAGAGGCAAGUGGAAUUGCGAGUGUAGAGGUGAAAUUCGUAGAUAUUCGCAGGAACACCAGUGGCGAAGGCGACUUGCUGGCUUUGUGGUGACGCUGAGACGCGAAAGCGUGGGGAGCAAACAGG